UUUAUGUUUGAUUGGACUUGUUCAAUCACUUUUUCAUCUUUUCCAGCUGCUGGAUGAGGAUCACAUCGAGUUCAUAAGAGAAGCCGUGAAGAAGAUAGGCAUCCCCAAAGUCCUGUCUGCUUUGGAGAUUGAGCUAACCAGGCUAUUGGACAAACAGGGGACCAACUUAUUUGACAUCUUCAACCCAGAGGUGCUUCCUCAGGACGGCUUUGUGGUGAUGCAAAUGGAUUUUGGUUUCCCUCAUCACCUCUUGACGGAUUUCCUUAAAAAGACUCUACAGUGAUUAUGCAACCCGUGAACAAUUUGAGCCCGAUUUGCACAAAGCGUUGCAUUUUGAUUUUGACCAUUUUGUUUAGAUAAAGUAAUACUUCCUUAGCUGUUUAUUAGAAUCAACUUAACAAAAGUGUAAACAAGCCUGUCACUAAUUGUGUCAUGAGUGAAUACUGGUGAUCAUGAUGAGUGCAUGGCACUAAACUUGGAAAAGGAUAAUACAUUUGGAGGUGUUUAUAUUUUAUUGUGUAAAUUCACUCAUUCUAUUGUGUUUGUUUUCUACAAAGAUAACACAAACUAAGCAAAUGUAUAUUACAUGCAGUACUUUAUAUUACCAGAAACUUUAAUUAAUUUUUUGGAAGGAGUUGAGAGCGCGUUUUUGCAGUCAAGGGCGGCUUUUUGUUAUUGUUUCCAAUGUGAACGAAGCCUUUUACAUGCUGCUGUGGCGUGACAAGCAGCUCGCGUUUUUCUACUCUCUGCUUAUCACUUUGAGUUGAAAAAAUUCUGCAUAAAAAUAACGUAAGUAUUUUUUAGUGAGGACUGUGGAUGGUUUUGCUUGAUACCUGUUGCUAUAUGGCUUCAACAACCCUAGUUACCAUCAUCCAAAAGGAAAAUGAGUGCUAUACUUUAGUUUUUGGGCAUGAUUUUUUAUUAAGGUGAUAUAACCAAAGCAAAAACAAUGUUUUUAAUGCUCUGGUACAUUGUAAGAAUUUGGGCUAUUUUGCUUCGAACCAUAUAGGCAUGGUUCGUUCAUCUUUUUUUUACUCUAUUCACCUGUAGUGUCUUGCAAAAUGUAUGGAAUUAAAAAAUAGAUCAAACUAUAAAGUAAGGAG
This is a long non-coding RNA of Pseudoliparis swirei, 1103 nucleotides long. RefSeq lists it as uncharacterized. The transcript has 3 exons. Lineage: Eukaryota; Metazoa; Chordata; Actinopteri; Perciformes; Liparidae. The record is from RefSeq and is a predicted model, not a curated record.